AACGAACGCUGGCGGCAGGCUUAACACAUGCAAGUCGAGCGAGACCUCCGGGUCUAGCGGCGGACGGGUGAGUAACGCGUGGGAACGUGCCCUUCUCUACGGAAUAGCCCCGGGAAACUGGGAGUAAUACCGUAUACGCCCUUUGGGGGAAAGAUUUAUCGGAGAAGGAUCGGCCCGCGUUGGAUUAGGUAGUUGGUGGGGUAAUGGCCCACCAAGCCGACGAUCCAUAGCUGGUUUGAGAGGAUGAUCAGCCACACUGGGACUGAGACACGGCCCAGACUCCUACGGGAGGCAGCAGUGGGGAAUCUUAGACAAUGGGGGCAACCCUGAUCUAGCCAUGCCGCGUGAGUGAUGAAGGCCUUAGGGUUGUAAAGCUCUUUCAGCUGGGAAGAUAAUGACGGUACCAGCAGAAGAAGCCCCGGCUAACUCCGUG
RNAcentral lists this ribosomal RNA (433 nucleotides) under uncultured bacterium. RNAcentral's name for it is "partial 16S ribosomal RNA". It matches the Rfam family "Bacterial small subunit ribosomal RNA", at positions 29 to 507 of the family's 1533-position model. The record is from RNAcentral.